Molecule: ribosomal RNA, 375 nt
Filed under: uncultured Glomeromycotina
Lineage: Eukaryota; Fungi; Glomeromycota
Description: LSU rRNA
Source: RNAcentral
UUGAAAGGGAAACGAUUGAAGUCAGUCAUACCAACGGGAAAUCAACCUUUUGAGCUUGGUCUCGUGGGUUUUGAAGAGUUUCAAAGCCUUCGGAUUCGCGGGAUUGGGAUCUCUUGGUGUACUUUUUCGUACGGUUAGUCAACAUCGGUUUUGAAUGUCAUAAAAUGACUGGAGGAAUGUAGCUUCGAUCUCGUAUUGAAGUGUUAUAGCCUUUGGUAGAUGUGACGUUUGAGACCGAGGAUUGCAACGGAUACCCUUCAGGGCUAUUCGUCUGAUCUCUGAUACGUUGCCUUGAUGUUGAAAGCUUGCUUAUGAUGUUAGGGUAUUACGGUCAAAAGGUUAGAACGAAUUACAUUCGUUAAGGAUGUUGACGUA